UGAAAGCAUAUUUAAAAUGAACUCAUACAAUUCAUAGUAUGCUAUAUCGUAUAUACAGUAUACCAAGUUGUAAGUUGAAUCAGGAAUAAGCUACAUUCAAGAACAUGUAAAACAUAUUACUAUGGCAGUUGCAGUAGCCUCGGAAUGGGCUUCAAGUCAAACAGAAAACAUAACAACCAACUGGUGCGUACCGACUACAUAGAUAUCUCAAACUAAAUCCUUACUCGUAAGGACUGAUGCAGCUUGGAACGGGGCAGAGAAAGUCGCAGGCUUAGGCUGGAUUAUCGUAGAUCAGAUCUGAGCUACUUCCUUCUCUUCUUUCACAAGGUUUGUAAGUUCUCCUCUUGUGGCGGAAGGACUAGCCCUCAUGACAGAAAUCUUAACAUGCAGAGACUUUGGCCAUCCAAGGAUCCGAUGUGAAUCGGACUCCUCUCAGCUUAUCAAAGCGAU
This 450-nucleotide long non-coding RNA is filed under the name Brassica napus (rape). RNAcentral describes it as "long non-coding RNA (BNAP_LNC008887)". The record is from RNAcentral. Lineage: Eukaryota; Viridiplantae; Streptophyta; Magnoliopsida; Brassicales; Brassicaceae.